GAUGAACGCUGGCGGCGUGCCUAAUACAUGCAAGUCGAGCGAACAGACGGGGAGCUUGCUCCUCUGACGUUAGCGGCGGACGGGUGAGUAACACGUGGAUAACCUACCUAUAAGACUGGGAUAACUUCGGGAAACCGGAGCUAAUACCGGAUAAUAUAUUGAACCGCAUGGUUCAAUAGUGAAAGACGGUUUUGCUGUCACUUAUAGAUGGAUCCGCGCCGCAUUAGCUAGUUGGUAAGGUAACGGCUUACCAAGGCAACGAUGCGUAGCCGACCUGAGAGCGUGGGCGGGAAAAUGGGAAGGGAGCCGGGGAGACGAGUAGGAAGGGAGGGAGCAGCAUGGAAGAGUCAGCAAUGGGGGAAAGAAGUACGGAGCAAUGCAGAGGGAGGGAGGAAGGUAUAAGGAUAGUAGAACGGGGUGAUUGGGGAAGAAAAAAGGUGUAAGUAAAGAUGGAGGGAGUGACGGUAAAUAAUAAGAAAGCAAAGGCUAACUAAGUG
RNAcentral lists this ribosomal RNA (497 nucleotides) under uncultured bacterium. RNAcentral describes it as "partial 16S ribosomal RNA". It matches the Rfam family "Bacterial small subunit ribosomal RNA", at positions 28 to 507 of the family's 1533-position model. The record is from RNAcentral.